RNAcentral lists this long non-coding RNA (405 nucleotides) under Monodelphis domestica (gray short-tailed opossum). RNAcentral describes it as "lncRNA (ENSMODG00000047368.1)". The record is from RNAcentral. Lineage: Eukaryota; Metazoa; Chordata; Mammalia; Didelphimorphia; Didelphidae.
ACUUAGCCCUUCUCAAUCUUCCUGAAAUUGGUAUUCUUUUGCAGAGAUUUUGCCAUUUCUUUUUUCUUCACAGGAUAGAGGAAAAGUGAAAAGCAUGGAGUACAUACAGUCUGCCCAGAAUCUUGAUUCCAUCCAAGCUUUCAACUGAAUGCCCGUCGUAAUGGCAUGGCUCCAGAUCCCAGGACAAACUAAGUAGGCCCAAAACAAAGUAUUCAUGAGCAUCCAAUGAAUUAGUCACUUUGCUUCUCAAAAGCUCUAGCAGCUUGGUCAGCUUUCUCCCCUGAGAGCAAUGGAUGUAGAUUCCCUUCCCAACAACUCUCUGAGUCACCGUGGCUGGCAUCCACCAACUGAUGGCAGAGUGAGGAAGCCCAGAAGAAUGCUAAAGUGAAGGAGAAAACAGACUUC